Molecule: ribosomal RNA, 505 nt
Filed under: uncultured bacterium
Lineage: Bacteria
Description: partial 16S ribosomal RNA
Rfam family: Bacterial small subunit ribosomal RNA
Source: RNAcentral
GAUGAACGCUAGCGAUAGGCCUAACACAUGCAAGUCGAGGGGCAGCACGGGAGUAGCAAUACAACUGGUGGCGACCGGCGCACGGGUGAGUAACGCGUAUGUAAUCUACCUACAACAGGGGGAUAACCCGGAGAAAUCCGGACUAAUACCGCAUAAAACAGGGGUCCCGCCUGGGACUAUUUGUUAAAGAUUUAUCGGCUGUAGAUGAGCAUGCGUUCCAUUAGAUAGUUGGUAAGGUAACGGCUUACCAAGUCAGCGAUGGAUAGGGGAACUGAGAGGUUUGUCCCCCACACUGGAACUGAGACACGGACCAGACUCCUACGGGAGGCAGCAGUGAGGAAUAUUGGUCAAUGGGCGAGAGCCUGAACCAGCCAAAUCGCGUGAAGGAAGACUGCCUUAUGGGUUGUAAACUUCUUUUACAGGGGAAUAAAAAGACAUACGAGUAUGUCAUUGCAUGUACCCUGUGAAUAAGCAUCGGCUAACUCCGUGCCAGCCGCCGCUGUAA